UUUUGAAUUACUAUCAGACCUUUUAAUUUAUUUAAUUUGAGUUACUUCAAAGUUUAAAUUUGUUGUUUAUUUUUACGAAUUUAAUUAGCAUAUUUUAUGUAAUUUAUAUAACUAUAAAUUUAAAUAUUUCAAAAUUUGAAUUUGAAAAACUAUUAAAUUACUUAAAGCAAAUAAAUUGCAAAAUUGGAUAAUAAAAUUAAAAUUUUGAAAUGUCAGAUAUUUGAAUCGAAAUAGUUUAUAGUUUAGAUAGAUUUUAUAUAUUUUACCACACUACAACAUAAUUAAGUUAUAUGGACACUAUGUUUGGGACACUUUUGUGUAAGUGUCCCAUUUAUACCAAAACUUAAAAAAAAAUCUACUAAGCCCUAAAUAUAAAGUCCAAUCCAAUCAAAAAUAAAAUGCUACUCUACUCAACCCACUCCAGUACCCAGCCCAUUCGGCCCGAUUACAAAUAGAAAAGAAAAAAAAAAAUCGAUCACUAUCUCCCCUUCUCUCCUCACUCAAUCUAUUGAAACCCUAGACGAAAAGCCCUUCCCUCUCCUCCUUCUCUGCCACCGCAGCCAACGAGGUAGAGUUCCAGCGAUUGCUAAAUGCUUAAAUAAGUAUUGAUAAAUUAGCAGCACUUUUUUUAGGUUUUACCGACAUUCUUUAAUUGUCACUAUAUUCCUAGCGACCCCACAUAUAGCAACACUUUUUAAAGUGUCGGUAAUUUAGCCAGCGACAUUUUUUUUGACAUGUACCGACAUUUAAAAGUGUCGCUAUAAAUCGUUUUUAUUGUAGUACUAAUAUCUAUCUGUACCUAUACAUUAUUCUUCCUAAAUUUGUCACAUGGCAAUGUUCCCUUCGUUAUCGGAUGUAGACUCCACCCUGAACUAGCUCAAGUUUUUUACAAUUUUUUUUUUCUUGAAUCAAAUCAAUCAUUAUUCAAUGUGAGCUCUUCCGAACCGGCUCAAGUCCUUCAUAUAUUUUUUUUAAAUUUUUUUCUUAAAAUAAAUUCGGUUUUUCUAUUUUUUGCUUCAACCGAAUCAGAUCACACCUCUAUUUUGGGUCUAAUUGUUCUUCUUCCACUUUCUUUGGAUGUUAUCUGUCUUCAUCGGCAAGAUGAAUUCUAUCUCUUAACAUCACUUUUUCGAUCAUUGUUUUUUCUUUCUUAGCUAUCGUUUUUUUUUUUCU
Molecule: long non-coding RNA, 1173 nt
Filed under: Ananas comosus (pineapple)
Lineage: Eukaryota; Viridiplantae; Streptophyta; Magnoliopsida; Poales; Bromeliaceae
Description: long non-coding RNA (ACOM_LNC044013)
Source: RNAcentral